RNAcentral lists this ribosomal RNA (157 nucleotides) under Sagedia simoensis. RNAcentral's name for it is "5.8S ribosomal RNA". It matches the Rfam family "5.8S ribosomal RNA". From Rfam's summary of the family: 5.8S ribosomal RNA (5.8S rRNA) is a component of the large subunit of the eukaryotic ribosome. Lineage: Eukaryota; Fungi; Ascomycota; Lecanoromycetes; Ostropales; Sagiolechiaceae. The record is from RNAcentral.
AAACUUUCAACAACGGAUCUCUUGGUUCUGGCAUCGAUGAAGAACGCAGCGAAAUGCGAUAAGUAAUGUGAAUUGCAGAACUCAGUGAAUCAUCGAAUCUUUGAACGCACAUUGCGCCCUCUGGUAUUCCGGGGGGCAUGCCUGUUCGAGCGUCAUU